This 21-nucleotide non-coding RNA is filed under the name Arabidopsis thaliana (thale cress). The record is from RNAcentral. Lineage: Eukaryota; Viridiplantae; Streptophyta; Magnoliopsida; Brassicales; Brassicaceae.
AGCCGUUUCCAGGGUGGGCAG